This 308-nucleotide ribosomal RNA is filed under the name uncultured fungus. Its description in RNAcentral is "eukaryotic LSU rRNA". The stretch from base 1 to 105 matches the Rfam family "5.8S ribosomal RNA", at positions 50 to 154 of the family's 154-position model. Lineage: Eukaryota; Fungi. The record is from RNAcentral.
GAAAUGCGAUACGUAAUGUGAAUUGCAGAAUUUUGUGAAUCAUCGAAUCUUUGAACGCACAUUGCGCCUUUUGGUAUUCCAGAAGGCAUGCCUGUUUGAGCGUCAUUUCUCUCUCACUAACGUGGUUUUGUUGUAUCUUUCUCUCUUUUGAAAAAGUGCAAUGAAAGGAAAUGGCAGUACUUCAAAGUUGCUUUACAGUGUUUUAGGUUCUACCAACUACACUAUUACAAGGCUCUUUGGUAAAGUUGGCUUGAAAACUUUCUUUCAAUGUUGACCUCAAAUCAGGUAAGAUUACCCGCUGAACUUAA